Molecule: ribosomal RNA, 453 nt
Filed under: uncultured Porphyromonadaceae bacterium
Lineage: Bacteria; Pseudomonadati; Bacteroidota; Bacteroidia; Bacteroidales; Porphyromonadaceae
Description: partial 16S ribosomal RNA
Rfam family: Bacterial small subunit ribosomal RNA
Source: RNAcentral
ACGGAAGGCAGCAGUGAGGAAUAUUGGUCAAUGGAGGCAACUCUGAACCAGCCAAGUCGCGUGAAGGAUGAAGGUUCUAUGGAUUGUAAACUUCUUUUGUCUGAGGGUAAAGUGCGGUACGUGUACCGUUUUGCAAGUAUCAGACGAAUAAGCAUCGGCUAACUCCGUGCCAGCAGCCGCGGUAAUACGGAGGAUGCGAGCGUUAUCCGGAUUUAUUGGGUUUAAAGGGUGCGUAGGCGGAAUGUUAAGUCAGUGGUAAAAGCGUGUGGCUCAACCAUACCAAGCCAUUGAUACUGGCGUUCUUGAGUGCAAACGAGGUAGGCGGAAUAUGACAUGUAGCGGUGAAAUGCUUAGAUAUGUCAUAGAACCCCGAUUGCGAAGGCAGCUUACCAGCACGCAACUGACGCUGAGGCACGAAAGCGUGGGUAUCAAACAGGAUUAGAUACCCUGGUA